RNAcentral lists this ribosomal RNA (492 nucleotides) under uncultured bacterium. RNAcentral describes it as "partial 16S ribosomal RNA". It matches the Rfam family "Bacterial small subunit ribosomal RNA", at positions 29 to 507 of the family's 1533-position model. The record is from RNAcentral.
AGUGAACGCUGGCGGUAGGCCUAACACAUGCAAGUCGAACGGCAGCACAGUAAGAGCUUGCUCUUACGGGUGGCGAGUGGCGGACGGGUGAGGAAUACAUCUGAAUCUACUUUUUCGUGGGGGAUAACGUAGGGAAACUUACGCUAAUACCGCAUACGACCUACGGGUGAAAGCAGGGGAUCUUCGGACCUUGCGCGAUUGAAUGAGCCGAUGUCGGAUUAGCUAGUUGGCGGGGUAAAGGCCCACCAAGGCGACGAUCCGUAGCUGGUCUGAGAGGAUGAUCAGCCACACUGGAACUGAGACACGGUCCAGACUCCUACGGGAGGCAGCAGUGGGGAAUAUUGGACAAUGGGCGCAAGCCUGAUCCAGCCAUACCGCGUGGGUGAAGAAGGCCUUCGGGUUGUAAAGCCCUGUUGUUGGGAAAGAAAAGCAGCAGGUGAAUACCCCGCUGUUCUGACGGUACCCAAAGAAUAAGCACCGGCUAACUUCGUG